GAUGAAGAACGCAGCAAAAUGCGAUAAGUAAUGUGAAUUGCAGAAUUCAGUGCAUCAUCGAAUCUUUGAACGCACAUUGCGCCCGCUGGUAUUCCGGCGGGCAUGCCUGUUCGAGCGUCAUUUCAACCCUCAAGCCCCCGGGUUUGGUGUUGGGGAUCGGCUCUGCCCUUCUGGGCGGUGCCGCCCCCGAAAUACAUUGGCGGUCUCGCUGCAGCCUCCAUUGCGUAGUAGCUAACACCUCGCAACUGGAACGCGGCGCGGCCAUGCCGUAAAACCCCAACUUCUGAAUGUUGACCUCGGAUCAGGUAGGAAUACCCGCUGAACUUAAGCAUAUCAAUAAGCGGAGGA
RNAcentral lists this unclassified non-coding RNA (348 nucleotides) under soil metagenome. Its description in RNAcentral is "partial contains 5.8S ribosomal RNA, internal transcribed spacer 2, and large subunit ribosomal RNA". The stretch from base 1 to 120 matches the Rfam family "5.8S ribosomal RNA", at positions 35 to 154 of the family's 154-position model. The record is from RNAcentral.